AUUAUACGCUUGGCGAUUUUUGACACGUAUAUCUCGGCACAUGCGUCUGUCUUCAUAAAUGUUUUUUAUCGUUCGAAUUACACGAGAAAUUAGGAUACACCCUUCUUUUUUUGGGCCCAACCUACACAAUGAAAUUUAUUACAGACUUUAUCAAGAGGCUGAGGGUACUUUCGAUAACAACCAUGGUUGUAUCAUUCUUGUAAUAAGCGUUGAGGACAUCGGCCAUGGCCAAGUAGUAGAAAGCGGAUAUUCGGUGUUUCAAGUUUCUUUUCAGGCGUUAGUGUGUAGGCCUUUUUUGAAUCAGGUGGUCGAUGUGGAAGUUACCGGUACCACUCAGGACGGGAUCCAUUGCAGUGCUGGGCCUAUCAAUAUGAUUAUUGGAGCAGGUGCCCUUCCGAGAGAAUUUAAAUAUAAUACUCAACUCCAAGCUUACACAGUUGAAGGUGAGCAAUUAGAGAUAAAACAAGGAAAUAAUCUUAGGUUGAGAAUUAUCGGUGUUUCAUUCCAAAGCCGGGUGUAUUGUGUCGGUUCAAUAGACGGCGAUUUUCUAGGGCUCAUCGAUUAGGAAACACUGGAUUCCUAUUUUUAGAAAAAACAGAUCAGAGUGCGUGUACACUAUCAGUAGUGAAGCAGGCUUAUAUUGUAUACAUGCUCUAGAGACGACGUGUAUGUCACAGUCUAUUAUUGGAUAUGAGACUCAGGGUUAUUUCGAUAAAUGUCUAGCGCUUCUCGCAAAUACAAGAAAUUCUGACAUUUCAAAUGAAGUCUUCCAAGAAUGUAAAUUAUAUAGUUCAUGCAAAUGCAUGUUUACCUGCGCACACAUUUUUUACGAGUGAUGGGCCUCUCGUCAUGAGAAUAGAAGUAAUAUUCGGUUCGUUUGAUACAAGUGUACGUUUUAUGAACAGCGUACAAAGAAAGCAAUAAGCGUAGAACAGCGAGUUUAUUGCACUAGGGGACCCAGUCUGGCUUCUUGUAUACACAUAUAGUUAGUGAAGUUGUAAUACUCAAAACAGAAGUGUUUGCUGUAACUUAGCAGAGCUGAUUUUCUUGCUAUGGAUCUUAAUGGUUCUUUGUUUGUACCCUGAUCAGUAAUUGAAUCGAUUUCGGAUUGUACAGCCUAUGCUAAUAGAUAAGGUUAUUCUUUGCGUUCAUUGCUACUUGCCAAUAUCUUUUAGAGCCUUCCGUUAUUCCUUCAAUUUCUUCAGAUGUUAGAAAGCGUAUAAACUUUGCUGGCCUACCAGCCCAAAGUUCUUUAGAUUUGAUGCGUGCGCCUCUAUCUAAGAGACUAUUUGCCGCUAGCAUACUGUGCUUUUCCAUGUAAGAAUCGGGACAAACUGUUGAAUGCAUACCUACUAGGCAGCAUUCCUCGAUCGUACAUGCGGAGAGAUGGCAGUCGUGACCUAUAGUGACAAAAUGACCAAUAGUAGUCGAGCCAUCAUGCCGAAGACCAACGGAACCGUGGACUUCGGUAAUGAUAGUGUUGUCUUGAAUAUUGGUAGUACUUCCAAUUCGAAUAGAACCUACGUCACUACGGAUAACGACAUUGUACCAAAUUGAGACGUAAUCCUGGACCUAAGAAAGUAUGUGUCAAAAUGUGUAAACACAUGGUUUGUAUUUUUUAUUGCAUCUAGAGAGCAUAUUAUAAGGAUCGGGAUUUAAAUGGUAAAUUACCUCGACAUUACCGCAUACA
Long non-coding RNA from Schistocerca gregaria, 1690 nucleotides. RefSeq lists it as uncharacterized. NCBI's taxonomy places the organism in Eukaryota, Metazoa, Arthropoda, Insecta, Orthoptera, Acrididae. The record is from RefSeq and is a predicted model, not a curated record. The transcript has 3 exons.